This is a non-coding RNA of Podospora aff. communis PSN243, 83 nucleotides long. Lineage: Eukaryota; Fungi; Ascomycota; Sordariomycetes; Sordariales; Podosporaceae. The record is from the annotation of a GenBank genome assembly.
GGUUGUGUAGUGUAGUGGUUAUCACUUCAGAUUUUGACGAGCAUCAUCUUCUGAUAACCCCGGUUCGAACCCGGGCACGACCU